Molecule: non-coding RNA, 25 nt
Filed under: Mus musculus (house mouse)
Lineage: Eukaryota; Metazoa; Chordata; Mammalia; Rodentia; Muridae
Source: RNAcentral
CUUUCUCUAGCUCCUCCAUUGGGAG